GGGCCCGCACAAGCAGCGGAGCAUGUGGCUUAAUUCGAAGCAACGCGAAGAACCUUACCAGGGCUUGACAUUUAGGUGAAGCGGCGGAAACGUCGUGGCCGAAAGGAGCCUAAACAGGUGGUGCAUGGCUGUCGUCAGCUCGUGUCGUGAGAUGUUGGGUUAAGUCCCGCAACGAGCGCAACCCUCGUUAUAUGUUGCCAGCGGUUCGGCCGGGCACUCAUAUGAGACCGCCGGCGUCAAGCCGGAGGAAGGUGGGGACGACGUCAAGUCAUCAUGCCCCUUAUGUCCUGGGCUGCACACGUGCUACAAUGACCGGCACAACGGGCUGCGAACUCGCGAGAGUAAGCGAAUCCCUCAAAGCCGGCCCCAGUUCGGACUGGAGGCUGCAACCCGCCUCCACGAAGUCGGAGUUGCUAGUAAUCGCGGAUCAGCACGCCGCGGUGAAUGCGUUCCCGGGCCUU
This 461-nucleotide ribosomal RNA is filed under the name uncultured bacterium. RNAcentral describes it as "bacterial SSU rRNA". It matches the Rfam family "Bacterial small subunit ribosomal RNA", at positions 917 to 1382 of the family's 1533-position model. The record is from RNAcentral.